This 84-nucleotide small RNA is filed under the name Chryseobacterium nakagawai. Its description in RNAcentral is "Flavo-1 RNA". It matches the Rfam family "Flavo-1 RNA". Lineage: Bacteria; Pseudomonadati; Bacteroidota; Flavobacteriia; Flavobacteriales; Weeksellaceae. The record is from RNAcentral.
UCCUAGCCCCGAUAGAAACGGCAUCCUUUUUUUGCGGAAGGAAUUGCGGCUGGAAAAAAGAUAUAGUGGAUAGCGGGAAUUACU